Molecule: ribosomal RNA, 441 nt
Filed under: uncultured bacterium
Lineage: Bacteria
Description: partial 16S ribosomal RNA
Rfam family: Bacterial small subunit ribosomal RNA
Source: RNAcentral
CCUACGGGAGGCAGCAGUGGGGGAUAUUGCACAAUGGGGGGAACCCUGAUGCAGCGACGCCGCGUGGGUGAAGGAGUGCUUCGGCAUGUAAAGCCCUAUCGGCAGGGAAGAAGCAAGACGGUACCUGACUAAGAAGCCCCGGCUAACUACGUGCCAGCAGCCGCGGUAAUACGUAGGGGGGGAGCGUUAUCCGGAUUCACUGGGUGUAAAGGGAGCGUAGGAGGCUAUGCAAGCCAGGGGUGAAAGCCCGGGGCCCAACCCCGGGACUGCCCUUGGAACUGUGCGGCUAGAGUGCGGGAGGGGCAGGCGGAAUUCCUGGUGUAGCGGUGAAAUGCGUAGAUAUCAGGAGGAACACCGGCGGCGAAGGCAGCCUGCUGGACCGCGACUGACGUUGAGGCUCGAAAGCGUGGGGAGCGAACAGGAUUAGAUACCCCUGUAGUC